Molecule: ribosomal RNA, 1327 nt
Filed under: Athyma punctata
Lineage: Eukaryota; Metazoa; Arthropoda; Insecta; Lepidoptera; Nymphalidae
Description: 16S ribosomal RNA
Source: RNAcentral
GGGGGAAAAUUAAUAAAAUAUAAAUAAUAAAAAAAUUUUUAAUAUUGGGGGAUAUUAGAGUAUUUUUUUAAAAAAAAAUAAAUUAUUUUAUAGUUAAUUAGUAUUGAAAAAGAAAUUUGAAAUAAGUGAAAAAGAAAAUAAUUAAAAAGUAGUUUUAAUUUAAUGUAUCUUGUGUAUCAGAGUUUAUUAAAAAAUAUUUUUUUUAUUAAAUAAAUCUCGAAUUUGAAAGAGCUAAUUAAUUAAAAAAGUUAAUGUAGAAAAAUUAUUUUAUAUAAUUAAUUAGAAAUGAAAUGUUAGUCGUUUUUAAAUAUAUCUAGUUAUUUUAGAAAAAAAUUUAAUUUAAAAUUUAAAAAAUUUUAUUAUUAAUUAUAAUUAAUAAUAAAAUAUUUAAAAUUAAAUAUAUUAAGGGAUAAGCUUUAAUAUAAAAAUUUAUAAUAAUUAAGAUAAAUAUAAAAAUUUUAAAAUUUAUAUUGUUUAAAAAUUAUAAUUUAUUAUAAAAAAUUUUAUAAAUAAUAAAAUUUAAUAAAAAAAAUUUAAUUUUAUAUAAAAUAAUAAUUUUAAAUAAAAAAAAAUUAAAAAUAAUGAUAAAAUUAGUAUAAUAAUAUGAUAAUAAAAUUUAAUUAUAGUAAAAUUAAAUUAAAGGAAUUCGGCAAAAAUUUAUAUUCACUUGUUUAUCAAAAACAUGUCUUUUAGAAAAUAAUUUAAAGUCUAAUCUGCCCACUGAUAGGUAUAUUAAAGGGCUGCAGUAUAAUGACUGUACAAAGGUAGCAUAAUCAAUAGUCUUUUAAUUGAAGACUUGUAUGAAAGAUUUGAUGAAAUAUAAUCUGUCUCUAAUUUAUAAAUAGAAUUUAUUUUUUUAGUUAAAAAGCUAAGAUGAAUUUAAAAGACGAGAAGACCCUAUAGAGUUUUAUAUUAAUAUAUUUAAGAUUAUGUAUAUAAAUAAAAAUUAAAAAUAAAAAUAAUAUUUUAUUGGGGUGAUAAAAAAAUUAAUUUAACUUUUUUUUUAAGUAUUAACAUGAAUAAGUGAAUAUUUGAUCCAUUAAUUAUGAUUAAAAGAAAAAAUUACCUUAGGGAUAACAGCGUAAUAUUUUUUUUUAGUACAAAUAAGAAAAAAAGUUUGCGACCUCGAUGUUGGAUUAAGAUAAAAUUUAAAUGCAAAAGUUUAAAAUUUUGAUCUGUUCGAUCAUUAAAAUCUUACAUGAUCUGAGUUCAAACCGGCGUGAGCCAGGUUGGUUUCUAUCUUUAGAAUAAUAAAAUAUUUUAGUACGAAAGGAUUAAAUAUUUUUAAUAAUUAAAAUUUUAUGAAUAUUAUUAAUUAAUUAAUUAA